AGAAGGGCGUUUGGUGGAUGCCUUGGCAGCAAGAGGCGAUGAAGGACGUGAUACUCUGCGAUAAGCUCUGGGGAGCCGAGAAUAGGCUUUGAUCCAGGGAUCUCCGAAUGGGGCAACCCACCUGAAAGUUCUCUGUUGUUUACUUCGGUAAUCAACAGAUUGCUUAACCAGGUAUUCUAGACCUGAAUACAUAGGGUUUAGAAAGCAAACCCGGGGAACUGAAACAUCUAAGUACCCGGAGGAAAGGAAAUCAAUUGAUACUCCCCUAGUAGCGGCGAGCGAACGGGGACCAGCCGAGCCGUGAGUGUGAUUGGAAUGGCCUGGGAAGGCCAGCCAGAGUGGGUGACAGCCCCGUACAAGAAGCAUGAUCGGACGUAUUAAGUAGGGCGGGACACGUGAAAUCCUGUCUGAAGAUCGGAGGACCACCUUCGAAGGCUAAGUACUCCUUGCUGACCGAUAGCGAACCAGUACCGUGAGGGAAAGGUGAAAAGCACCCCGACGAGGGGAGUGAAACAGUACCUGAAACCGGACGCUUACAAGCAGUGGGAGGGCCCUUGAGGCCUGACCGCGUACCUUUUGUAUAAUGGGUCAUCGACUUGGUCUCACGAGCAAGCUUAAGCCGUUAGGUGUAGGCGCAGCGAAAGCGAGUCUUAAUAGGGCGUUUAGUUCGUGGGAUCAGACCCGAAACCGAGUGAUCUAGGCAUGACCAGGAUGAAGGUUAGGUAACACUAACUGGAGGUCCGAACCCACACCUGUUGAAAAAGGUCGGGAUGAGUUGUGCCUAGGGGUGAAAGGCCAAUCAAACUCGGAGAUAGCUGGUUCUCCGCGAAAUCUAUUUAGGUAGAGCGUCAUCCGAAUACCCCGGGGGGUAGAGCACUGGAUGGGUAAUGGGGCCCCACAGGCUUACUGAUCCUAACCAAACUCCGAAUACCCGGGAGUACUAGAUGGCAGACACACGGCGAAUGCUAACGUCCGUCGUGAAGAGGGAAACAACCCUGACCUCCAGCUAAGGCCCCUAAUUCAUGGCUAAGUGGGAAAGCAGGUGGGACGACCAAAACAACCAGGAGGUUGGCUUAGAAGCAGCCAUCCUUUAAAGAUAGCGUAACAGCUCACUGGUCUAAAUAAGUUGUCCUGCGGCGAAGAUGUAACGGGGCUCAAGCCAUGAGCCGAAGCUGAGGAUGCACAUAGUGCAUGGUAGCGGAGCGUAGUGUGACAUAGAGCUAUGCUUGUUUAUCGCCUGGAUACGAGGCGCGGAAACGCGCUCAAGUAGCCGGAGGCGGUAGCGCAAGCAAAGCUCUUUCGAUGAAGCCCGGGCGUGAGCCAUCGGGUGGAGAGAUCACUAGCGAGAAUGAUGACAUGAGUAGCGACAAACAGGGUGAGAGACCCUGUCGCCGAAAGUCCAAGGGUUCCUGCUUAAAGCUAAUCUGAGCAGGGUAAGCCGACCCCUAAGGCGAGGCCGAAAGGCGUAGUCGAUGGGAACCAGGUUAAUAUUCCUGGGCCAUGAGGUGGUGACGGAUCUCGAAGGUUGUUCAUCCUUAUCGGAUUGAAUGGGCAGCUUAGAGGUUCCUGGAAAUAGCCCCUCUAUAAGAUCGUACCCGAAACCGACACAGGUGGACUGGUAGAGAAUACCAAGGCGCUUGAGAGAACGAUGUUGAAGGAACUCGGCAAAAUACCUCCGUAAGUUCGCGAGAAGGAGGCCCAGUUUCUAGGCAACUAGUGGCUGGGGGCACAAACCAGGGGGUGGCGACUGUUUACUAAAAACACAGGGCUCUGCGAAGUCGCAAGACGACGUAUAGGGUCUGACGCCUGCCCGGUGCCUGAAGGUUAAAAGGAGGAGUGCAAGCUCUGAAUUGAAGCCCAGGUAAACGGCGGCCGUAACUAUAACGGUCCUAAGGUAGCGAAAUUCCUUGUCGGGUAAGUUCCGACCUGCACGAAUGGCGUAACGACUUCCCCGCUGUCUCCAACAUCGACUCAGCGAAAUUGAAUUACCUGUCAAGAUGCAGGUUACCCGCGGUUAGACGGAAAGACCCCGUGCACCUUUACUACAGCUUCAGACUGGUAUCAGGCCAGGCAUGUGCAGGAUAGGUGGUAGGCUUCGAAGCAGGGACGCCAGUCCCUGUGGAGCCACCCUUGAGAUACCACCCUUGCCUCGCUUGAUAUCUAACCGCGGUCCGUCAUCCGGAUCCGGGACCCUCUGUGGCGGGUAGUUUGACUGGGGCGGUCGCCUCCUAAAGAGUAACGGAGGCGCGCGAAGGUUGGCUCAGAGCGGUCGGACAUCGCUCGUUGAGUGCAAUGGCAGAAGCCAGCCUGACUGCGAGACUGACAAGUCGAGCAGAGUCGAAAGACGGCCAUAGUGAUCCGGUGGUCCCAAGUGGGAGGGCCAUCGCUCAACGGAUAAAAGGUACGCCGGGGAUAACAGGCUGAUGAUGCCCAAGAGUCCAUAUCGACGGCAUCGUUUGGCACCUCGAUGUCGGCUCAUCUCAUCCUGGGGCUGGAGCAGGUCCCAAGGGUACGGCUGUUCGCCGUUUAAAGAGGUACGUGAGCUGGGUUUAGAACGUCGUGAGACAGUUCGGUCCCUAUCUUCCGUGGGUGUAGGAUACUUGAGAGGAGUUGCCCCUAGUACGAGAGGACCGGGGUGAACGAUCCACUGGUGGACCAGUUGUCAUGCCAAUGGCAGUGCUGGGUAGCUAUGAUCGGACAGGAUAACCGCUGAAGGCAUCUAAGCGGGAAGCCCCCCUCAAAACAAGGUAUCCCUGAGGACCGUGGCAGACUACCACGUCGAUAGGCCGGAGAUGUAAGCGCAGCAAUGCGUUCAGUUGACCGGUACUAAUUGUCCGAUAGGCUUGAUU
This 2849-nucleotide ribosomal RNA is filed under the name Jannaschia sp. AI_61. RNAcentral describes it as "23S ribosomal RNA". It matches the Rfam family "Bacterial large subunit ribosomal RNA". Lineage: Bacteria; Pseudomonadati; Pseudomonadota; Alphaproteobacteria; Rhodobacterales; Roseobacteraceae. The record is from RNAcentral. RNAcentral also lists the same sequence under 1 other name.